RNAcentral lists this ribosomal RNA (484 nucleotides) under uncultured bacterium. RNAcentral describes it as "partial 16S ribosomal RNA". It matches the Rfam family "Bacterial small subunit ribosomal RNA", at positions 29 to 523 of the family's 1533-position model. The record is from RNAcentral.
AGUGAACGCUGGCGGCGUGCUUAACACAUGCAAGUCGAACGAGAACGGAUUAUAGCUUGCUAUAAUUGUCAGCUAAGUGGCGCACGGGUGAGUAAUGUAUAGGUAAUAUGCCUCUUACUAAGGGAUAACAAAUGGAAACGUUUGCUAAUACCUUAUACUCCUUAUUAACAUAAGUUAAUAAGGGAAAGAUUUAUUGGUAAGAGAUUAGCCUGUAUUGUAUCAGUUAGUUGGUGGGGUAAUGGCUUACCAAGACUAUGACACAUAACUGGUUUGAGAGGAUGAUCAGUCACACUGGAACUGAGACACGGUCCAGACUCAUACAGGAGGCAGCAGUGGGGAAUAUUGCACAAUGGACGAGAGUCUGAUGCAGCAACGCCGCGUGGAGGAUGACACAUUUCGGUGCGUAAACUCCUUUUAUAUGAGAAGAUAAUGACGGUAUUAUAUGAAUAAGCACCGGCUAACUCCGUGCCAGCCGCCGCAGUAA